GGCAAAAAGGCCCUGUCCAAGGCACCAGCCUGGGAAGACAUUGCAGGCACACAGCAGAAGGAACUCGAAUGAGAGUCAGACACACACCCCACUUAAAGACCCUAUUGAAAGCUCUCCUACCCCUCCUGCCCCGGAGGAAAGGACUUGCCUCCUAAACCCUUCUGUUGCAUUUAAUUAAAGCUAAUCAUCUCCCCCCACUCUAAAGUAUUUCUACUGGUCCUCCUCACUAGAAUGACCAGAUGCAAUGGGGGCUUUCAGCCUCUUAGGUCACAGAGGGAAUAUUGGCAGUUGGAAUUAGUCAUGCAGGGUGAGAAAACCUGCACCUGAAAAAAAACAAACCCUCUUCUAAACUUUUAAAUGUGCAGAAACGCAUCUUUGUCUUGGCAUUUUGUCAUCCUAUCCUAUGACAGAAACAAAGGGAAAUGGUUUAAAACUGGCACCCAACAGAACGACGGUGGUGCAAUCACUGCUGUUGUUACUGGUACUACUGGUAAUUGGAGUAAGCUUCAAUGUGUGACAGGGCUGCAGUCUGAGGGGGAGGCAGAAGCUAGGAAACCACGAACCAUGAAACAAGCCUAUAGCCAGGGCUGAAGGACAAAUCGAAAGCAGGCAUGAUCAUGGAGCAAUCCAAAAGUCAAGACAGGAGAGCAAUUUAGGAAGCAGGAUUGAGAACCAAGCCAGAUGUCAGCACCCAAGGAUAACUAAAAGAACAAGAGCUGAUAAACUGGGAGAAGACGACUUCUGGAAGGAUUGAAUAUCCAGCCUAGAUAGAUGAGGUCAGUCCAGGACCCGACAAUCAGAAGUGUAGUGGUCUGGGGUUGGGGGGUGGUGGUGUCCUAUUUCUGCAGCAGGAUCCUUGUCUCCAGCGUCCUAGAGCAGUGUUUCCCAACCUUUUUCCGACCGUGCACCCUUCCAACCUUGUUUCCUUCCUGUAGCCCCUGAUAGGCAUAGCUGGGAGGGCAGGGGGCAGCUGUGGCCCCCCAUUUACGCGAUUUUCACCUGUGCCCCCCUCAGAAUAUACUGGGGAGCCCCAGUUGGGAAACACUGUCCUACAGCCACCCAAGUGGCACGUAAUGGGUCCUUUUUAGCCACUGAGAAGGUCUUCUUACCUGUUGUGCUGGCUGGAGCAAGAGUGAAAGGGCCACUGAGGAUUGAGCCGUAGGGUCAUUCUGGUGAAGGCUCGCAUGGAGAACACCAGCCCUCCAGAUGUUUUGGGACUACAACUCCCAUCAUCCCUAGCUAACAGGACCAGUGGUCAGGGAUGGUAGGAAUUGUCGUCCCAAAACAUCUGGAGGGCCGUGUUUGCCUAUGCCUGUUUUAAAGGGAUUAUUUCACUGUGUAUUUUAAGUAUGAGUGUUUAUACUGCAAUGUUUUUAUGGAUAUCUUUUCUUAUGCAUUAAUUAUGGAUGCUUAUAUUUUAAUAUUUACAUUAAGAGGCUUUUACAUUUCAUAAACUGCUCAGAAGCCUAUUUUGGCCUUAAGCAGAAUGUGCAUUAAUAAAUAAUAAUAAUAAUAAAGCCUAAUAACACUCCAUGGAAGUGGCUUGCUUACUUGGCUCAUUGGCUACUAUGUUAUGAAAACCCCAUUUGGAUCAAUGCAAAACAAGUGUACCUAAUGCCAAAGGGCAUAGCCAGGCAUUUGGUGGCUGAACCAUACUGUUCCUGGCAGAGAUGAUAUUUUUUACUGUUUUUAGAAGCUUUUACAAUCCUUUUUUGUGUGUGUUUUGUAGACUUGUGAUAACUGGCCCUAGGAAAAACUGGAAGAGUGAAAGUGAAAGAUAUAGCUUGAGCCAGGACAGCAUGCUUGCUGGUUAGUAUCUGAGCUGCGUGCUAACUGUGAGGAAUUCCCUGCUGAGUUUAAAAAGUCACUCCUCCCAGAGCUGAAUAGAGGCAGGCAGCCAGUCAGGCUCCACCUGUCAACAGCAGAAAAGGUUUGCAAGGAGCCCACAGUCCAUUGUCCCUGCUUCCCUCCUCCCUAUUCCGUCUUCUAAAUCUAAACUAUGCCAUAAUCUCCCAGUAUCAAGCAUAGGUAUGUGUAUGUAUGUAUGUAUGUGUGUAUGUAUGUAUGUAUGUAUGUAUGUAUGCACACACCCCUGUCUAUUAACCUCAGCACUGCUUCAAGGUUUCCCCAGACCUGGGGUGAAGCUAAUCGUAGAAGUACAGGAGCAGUUUCACACAUGCAUGCAAUCCCUUGAUGCCUUAUAACUUGAUGACUCACCACAAAAACAUUAAACAUUGAAAAACUCCCCUAUACAGGGCUGCCUUCAGUUGUCUUCUAAAGGUUGUGUAGCUUACAUUUUUAUGGUUGCCAUAUAUUGAACAGCAAAAACGAGGAUGCUAUGAUGGCUCAUUUUAAAUACCCCUACUAAAUGUAGGCUAUAGAAGCUGUGAUAUAUUGCUGAGGAGGGCAGGAAAAGAAGAGGAAAGCAAGUCAUCAACCACUAGUUAUGACUAUUUCUCAUUCAGAAAGUAUAGCAAGAGACUAGCCCUGUCUUUAGCAUAUGCGCCGCCAGGGGGCAAAGAUCCGCCCAGCACCCCCAAAUUUAGUUUAGCCCCCAAAUUAACUUUUAUUAUGCUUAUGUCAGACACCACACUUACGCCUUAUCUCUUGUUGUGAAUGACAAGUGCCGCCGUUGUGAAUGACAAGUCUUUGGUGAAUGAGCGCACAAAGUCUAAAGUCCUUUAGUGAAACAGUAGGUAUACAUUUCGGUAAUACCUAGGUAUAUAUGUAUUUUGUUUUUCUAGUUUGAUCAAAAUUAUUUAUUAUUUCAUAACAGGUAGAUAGUUAAGAGCUUAGGCGGCUUCAGUGGUGGGUGCCUGGCGCCCCCCAGAAUUUGGCACCCGGGUGCCUUGCACCCCUGGGUAAAGAUGGCACUGCAAGAGAUGUGUGGGCAAAUUUUUCAAAAUCCACCUGGACAGAAAUUUUACCCCUGAAAAAGAGGACGUGUCCUGGAAAAAAGAGGACACAUGGCAACCCUAUGGACAUAUCUCCUUGGCUCAGAGGUUGCAUAACUCCAUACCCCCCAACAUUUCACUGAUGAAAAUAGGGACAUCCUACCAUACCCUCCAACAUUUUUCCAAAGCCCUGAACCCCUGGCCUACCUGGCAGCAAGUCAGUACAUCGAAUCUCCAUUCCAGGGUCAAUCCACAUGCCCAAAGUCCAAACCAAAGCACAGUCCCACAGAAAUCCUGAAGCAUCCAAGCUGAAAUCCAUCAACAUGGGCAGUUAGUUGAACAGACCCAGCACCUCAGCUCUGCUGCCCUUUUAUUCUUUGCAUGCUGAUUGCAGCAUCUGAAUAAACACACGAGACGUAACCGGCUGUGUUCUUAGAUUAAUAAGGUAUACUAUUCAUGUAUCAAAUCAUAAAUUUCAAUGGAAGUAACUCAUAAAGUUCAACAAACGAACAAAGCAGAAGACCCAGUGGAUCAGAUCAUUCUUUAGUCAGUUCAUGCAUAAGGUCCAUCCGUGUAAUAGUGUCUAUUCCACCUGUCUGUUCAUAAGGUCCAAACAAUCCACAUGAAAGGUUGUUACAGUUUCACAGAGGAUUCUGUGGAACUGUAACAACCUUUCAUGUGGAUUGUUUGGAUCUUAUGAUUGCAGCAUCUGGGCUUGAUGAGGCAUGUGACCCUCACCUCUUCCAAGCCUACUCCAGCUGAGGAAUCACACCCCUCCUCCCAGAGCUAGCUAGUGAGCUGGGUUGUGGGCUCUUGCUUGCCUCUGCCUCCUGGAGUGUCCUGCCCGCUGCCUCAAAGCCCACUGUGUUCGUGGAGACAGGGGCUCCUCUGGCUCUGGUGAUGGGUCCUGCUGCUGUGGUUCCUGUGCACUGGCCCCCAUUCCCUUGUCAUCCUCUGUCACCCUGUGAGUAUUUCCUUCUCCGUCCCCUGUUUUCCCUAGUGUGUCCCAGUCCCAGCUACACCCCUUGCCUUCUUUUUCCUCCCCAUUGUCCUGCCACUCAUGACAUCCGAUGAAAAUAGGGACGUCCUAAGGAAAAGCAGGACAUUCAGGGAUCAAGUCAGAAACAGGAAUGGCUUUCCCUGGAAAAUAGGGGCACUUGGAGGGUCUGAGAUAGUCAUGGUCGCUGUAAUGUGAAGCAGUGAAUCCCAUGAAUUUGCUCUUUGGAUCUGGUGAUGACCAUUAACUUCAAAGGCUGGAGGUGACUGAGCCAAGAAGUAGUAGUUGUAAAGGGGGGAAAGCAUUCCUGGUUUUAGAGGCUUGCAACACAAACAACUGAUGAGGAAUCACAAUAAUGUUUACUAAUUUUAAAUGCUGCCUUUCUACCUAUGUAUCCAAGGCAAUUAAUGGCUUGCAAUAUAGUAGGCAUGCUGCAAUGCUGUGUGGAUAUGUAUAAUGCACCUGCACACCAAAAUAUAGCAACAAACCAGAUAUGUGGGUGUAGCCCAAAAAUUCUGAAGGGUGUUCUGUCCUGUUUCAGAAUGAGGUGGGGGUGAAAACCAAUAUUAACUCUAAAUCAUAGAACACAAUAAAUAUACAAAGCAGUGAGGGGCUUAGAGGUGAUUUAUAGACUGCAAAAAAAAAAAAAAAACCCCACACCCUACCAUGGGCCAAGCCAUCCUAAGCAAAUAUAAUGUAAAUACAUAUAAUCCUAUGGAUAAAUAGUUCAAUUUCAGCUCAGUUUCUCAUUUUUUCCAAUCUUAGAUUCAAUUCUCCACAUUUCUGCAGCAAUUUGUAGGGUCCUUAAAAAAAACAACAAGAUUCUCAUGAGAAGCCAUCCUUUUGGUGGAUUUCCCUUAAUGAACAUUUUUGUAUACAGUUUUCACUAACAUACAUGUUUUUGUAAGGAAUUUCACUUAAUACAAUGCAUUUUGUAUGUUGUUUUAACUAAAGGCUGCAGACAACCAAGCAAAUAAGCUGUUGUGAAGUCAAAGGGAGUUGAUUCUUUGUUUCUCCAUAUAUGGCUGUGUGCCACUUAUGGCUACUAGAGUUACGUAUUGGCAAGUGGGCUAAUAAACACUUUGGCCUUAUUUGCAAAGUUGGUGUCAUUGAACAAUAUCUGAGUUGGCUACAAGAAAUGGCAGCUCUGCAAGUUGCCCAACAAGAUGUAGGCUGUACUGCUUUCUAGUUUUCUUUUGCUGGCAUCAGUCCCUCUUUAUGUAGUGUACAUCUCUUCAAGACCUGCUGCUUCCCCCUGAAAUUCAUGGACUCCUUUCCUAGAGUAAACCUCACUCCUUGAAAGUGGGUUGAAAAUAACACCGAAACCAGAGGUCUGAGGAUGCUCUGCUUUGGAACAGAACCCAGAAUAUCCAUCCUCUCUCUGAGCCCGCGGCUGUUUGUCUCCAGUGUGAAGACCAGUCUAAAUGAAGGGAUAGAUGUACGCAAUCACAUUAGCAUAUGUAGUUCAGUGAUCAAGAACAUAUGAAGUCAUAGAUUCAGUUCUCAACAUCUCCAGUUAGAAAAUAUUUAGGGUACUGUGGAUGGAAAAGGGCUUCCCUGCCGAGUUGAUAUGCAGGAGUGGAUGGACCACUGGCCUGCUUUAGUGUAAGGCAGCUUAGGGUGAAUUAAGAACAUAGGAGGCUGCCUACUACUGAGUCAGAUCACUGUCCCAUCAAGCACAGUCUUGUUUACACUGACCAGCGGCAACUCUCCAGGGUUUCAGGCAGAGUAUCUCCCACCUUAUCUGGAGAUGCCAGAGACUGAACCUGUGGCCUUCUGCAUUCAAAACAGAUGUUCUUAGACAUGGCACCAUCCACACAAUUAGAAAUGGUAUGUAUGGGGGUUGUUGCUGUUCUGUUUUAGAAUAAAUAGCAAGCACAGUGAGCUCAUUCUGGAUCAGAACCUUGAUGAGGGUGGGGUAGGAUGCCACACAUCCACUGUGGUCCCAGUCUUCUCCUUCUGCCCAUGGCUGCUAAUUGCAAUUAUCUUACUACUUUGCUGGCCCCUACAAAAAUUCUCUUUCCUGCCCUGGUUUCUGGCGGGGGGCGGGGGUGGGAGAAAUCCAUUUUGGACACAAACAAGGCUAAUGGAAGAGCUAUUUUACAAGAGGCUGCAACAUUGCUUGACCACCAUUUCCCACCCAUUUCCUGGACCACCUUGAUGUACUGAUCAAAUCACUUCAUAGGCAUCAGUCACAAAGGAAGGUGGGCGUUUCUCAGAAUUUAUCAACUCACUAAGUGGGCAACCCUGGCCCCAACUGAGUUAACAUCUGGCAGAGGUAUGUUGCACGUUCUUUCCAGAAAGAAGAGAUUUAAUGCACAGGACUGGGAUUUGAGAAUAUCACAUACUAGAGAAUCUGGCCUUCACAGGCUGGUCCCUUUGCUGGCCACGGCAAAGUAAUUUUUACAAUAUUUGCCUACAAGAUUAUCUGGUCUGAAGAGGCCUUGCUUUGGUAAAAAAAAGGUAGAACUUAAUUAUCAGUCUACUGUUAGUUGAGAAGGAUUGUCCCUAAAAAGCAGAGAUAUCUCAGCAGGCUUCAUUAGCAUCCCACAGAAAGCUGUUGGUGGUCUCAGAUCAUUGAUCUUUCCGUUCACUGACUGUGGUUCCUUUUCCAAAGCAGGAAACUGUUGUCUUGGGUGCUGUGGACAUGUUGUGAUUCAAACUUCCAUCUCCAAGGCAAGGCAAACAGUCCAUGGGAUUUUUCAAAAAAUUAAAAUGGUGCUACUGCUGUGUUGUUAACUGGACUUGGGUGUCCAAAGCAUAUUCCUCCUCACACAUAUCUUGUGUGAUUGUUACCUUGCUUUCUGCUACAUACAGGAUACACUCAAACAUACAUUCAGCAACCCUCCUGCUCGCCUCCAUUUUGAACAGGGAUGGGGAAUCAAUGGUCCUUCAAGUAUUCCUAGACUACAACUCCCAUUAUCCCAAACAGGUGUGUCAACUUGAAUAAAAUAUUGGGGACAGGUAGGCCCCGCCCAGCAUAAUCAAUCACAAGACACGGUGCAAACACACUGUUUGAAUGGCAAUGCCUAUCAACUUUGAGGAGACCCAGCCUGAACCACAGCUAUCCUUCAAAAUUCACACCUCUCCCAAUUUUACAGUGCCAUUUAAUGUGUGCAAAAAUGAACGUGCUGUGGUAAAGUGUGCAUAACAAUGCAUAUAUGCAUGAAAAUAACAUAACAGAAAUGACUUACAGUGGUACCUCGGGUUACAUACGGUUACAUGUGCUUCAGGUUACAAACUCCGCUAACCCAGAAAUAGUACCUCGGGUUAAGAACUUUGCUUCAGGAUGAGAACAGAAAUCAUGCUCUGGCGGCGCGGCAGCAACAGGAGACCCCCAUUAGCAAAAGUGGUGCUUCAGGUUAAGAACAGUUUCAGGUUAAGAACGGACCUCCAGAACAAAUUAAGUACUUAACCUGAGGUACCACUGUAUAUUAGAAAACAAAAAUCACUUUAUUUAAUUGAGUUAUACCACCUUUUUCUCAAGGUACCUAAGGCAGUUAAGAAUUUUUAAAAGAGGCACUUUAUAUAAAUGUUGAGGGACAAGAAUCCUCUCAUGCCAACUGGGCACUGACAGUGUGUGUGUGUUCCCUGACUUGGGCUCCCUUCCUUCUGCCUUCCCUGGGGGCACACAGGGUGUGGCAGCCCCAGGGAUAGUCGGGGAGGAGCUGCCCCAACAGUUCUCUCUGGCUGAUGAUGGUGUGUGUACUCUCUGGCCUGGGUUGCAAAAAUUGUGUACAUUGGGGGGGGGGAUGUGAGUUUUCAUGCAGACUCAUGUGGGAAAAUGAAUUGAAGACUGGGAAAAUGAGAAACUGCACGGAUGCUGAAAUGGACAGAUUCACCCCAACCCUAGCCAUGGGCCAUGCCACAAUCCUGGCCCCAUGGCAGCUGCCCAAGGGAGUUGUGCACUGAUGCCAGGCCUGUGUGCUUAUAUGAGCGGAUGAGGAAUCAGUGCAUCAGAUCACCCCAACUUGCAUUGGGUGGUCAGUCCAGAUGUAGUCAGCCACCCCAAACAAAGCUGACAGACAGGCUAUUUCAGAAUGAGAUUCCUACACUGCUUUACCACCAUUUCCCACAUAGUGCUUGGAGGCUGUCACACCUAGCGGCUGGGUAGCACAAGGGUAAAACAAGUCUGCCCAACUGGAAGGCUUGGGUACUUGUGGAAACAGAAAAGAAAAGCAGCUGUCUGUGGGAGAACUGGGUUGGUAAAGUGCAGCGGUGAACUACUGGGAAGGACCAUAGCUCAGUAGGUAGAGUAUCUGUUUUGCAUGCAGGAGGCUCCAGGUUCAAUCCCUGGCAUUUCCAGGUAGGGCUGGGACAGAAUAUUUAUCUGAAACCCUGGGGAGCUGCUGCCAGUCAGUGUAGACAGUACUGCGCUACAUGGGCACCAUGGUCUGUCUUGGUGUAAGACAGCCUUCUGUGUUGUUCCUAUACAAAAUAAAAAUAAAGGAAAGUAUUUAACGUCAUGUAUGGUUGACUCACAUUCAGCAAGUGAUCUUUUUCAUCUUUUCAGCUGACUGGGCUGCCCCUUCUGUGUGUGAGGAACCCUGCACCAUUCUUCUGGAAAAUAACUGAAUCAUUCUGUCACACAAGUACAAAUAUAUUUUAUUUUUAUUUCAUAAAAUGUCAUUAAAUUUAUGUCCCAUGAUUGUUAAAAAAAAAAAGAGCAAAGCUCCAAGUGAUUUAUGAAAAGAAUAGUUGGAACAGCUAUUAAAUGGUUGAAACAACUACUAUUUAAAAUAUUUAAACAUAAUUAAAAUGAACAAUAAGCUAAAAAACAGAUUAAAGCACAUGUCAACAUUUUACAUGUCUGGAUCGGCGUGCCUAAACAAAUUUGCUUUUAGCAGGCACCAAACAGAAUACGGAGAAGGCACCCACCUGAUGUCCAGUGGCAAGGAGUUCCAAAGUGGGGGUGUUGCCACGCCGAAAGAUUGAUUUCUUAAAAAGGUAGAAUGAGAAUUAUGUGGCUCUUGUAACAGUGCAGAUCAAAGCGAUCCAGUGGGCAUAUAUGGGGUAAGGUGAUCUUGCUGGUCCCAAGCUGUUAAGGGAUAUGAUAACAUACGCCCAGUGACAGAAGGGUCACUGGAAGGAGUCAAGGGCAGACCCAUGAUCCGCUGGACAGUUCCCUCUUGGGUGGAGAAUCUGAGCUUGCAAGAGCUUUUAAUGACUGGAUACAUCUACUUCUCCCAGCACACUAUAAUGAAUAAGUGAUGGAGGAACCUGCGAACCUCCAGAUGUUGUUGGAGAUUCCUCACUGGCCAGGCUAGUUGCAGCUGUUGGGAGUUGAAGUCCAAUUGGGGAUGCUGAGAAGGCAGCAGAUCCGACCUCCAACGAGCAUGUCACCACGGUGGUGGCGGCAGGUGAUGCAUUCCUUGGAGGCCGGAUCUGCUGCCCCUGUAGAUCCUGUUGCCUGAGGCCGUCGCCUCACCUUGUUUCAUGGGUGGGCCAGCCCGGAAACCUGAAAGCAGGAUCUGAGCACAACAGCAUUCUCCUCUCCUGCAGUCUCCAGCUACUAGCAUUCAGAGGCAUGGUGCCUCUGACAGUAGAGAUAGAACAUCAAUUGCGGCUAACAGACGUUGAUGAAUCUGUCUAGCUCUCUGGAUGCUUUAGGCUGGGCCUUAAAUUCAGAGAUACGCUCCAAAAUUGCAUCUCAACUAUUUAUAACAGAAGCUUUUCAAAGGCUGAAAAAGGAGAGAAAAAUUAAUUGUCAGCUGUGCUUGAAAAUGCAGCGUUUGGGGGGUUGGAAUUUUGAGGUGGUGAAGUGGAGAGAAACACAUUUGUGAGUGCAUAAAUUUAUGCAACGAGGGCUGUCUAUUUGUUUUUGCAGAACCCAGCCACAUUAGAAAAGCAGAUGUGCAAGAUGUGU
This is a non-coding RNA of Podarcis lilfordi (Lilford's wall lizard), 9757 nucleotides long. Lineage: Eukaryota; Metazoa; Chordata; Lepidosauria; Squamata; Lacertidae. The record is from the annotation of a GenBank genome assembly.